UCCUGUUUAAGCAUCGAGUUUUUCAAAGAGAAAAACUGGCUGCCACUCUUGUCUCUUUCUUGAGUGGCUGAGUUUUCUAGGUUAUUUAGUAGAUGAAAUCAAAAGAAACGUGGAAACACUGUGUGGUUGGAAGCCACGUGGCGCAUAUGCUCCUGCUUGUUAACAGUGAGUGGUGUUGAUGCGUGGGCAUUCAGGUUUCUUCUGCGUUGGCAAUGCUGAUGUGUAAUCAGUCGUCUCAGCACAAUUGGGGGUUUUAGGAAACUCAGAGAUCAGCCUUAGUUCUCAGAGUUUUUGAAAUCAAUAUCCUAGCCUUAUGAAUUGUUCCUUGUGUUUCCUUGGCAACAAACAGUAUUUUCAGCCCAAACCCACCCACGGUUUACAUUCACCCCUUUCUCCUGCAUCUCACAGCACAGCCAUACAAGCAUCACCCAACAGAAAGCACAUUCAGGCACCAUCUGACAACGGGAAGCAGGACUCAGGCAUUCCACUCCCCAUUUGUUCCUGGUGUCCCCUCCCCAGCUCUGCCUUGCUUGCUUACCUUCUUUGUGCCAGCACUUUUCUUUGAGGUUGGGUUGCAAAGGACCUUGCCUAAAGAUGAACAAAGUAUUUCAUUCUUGCACUUUGAAUCUCUCCAGUGCCUAGGACUAAUGAGGAGAAUGCUUGUUAGCUCAUUUUGUGGGCCAGUGCUGGGUUCUCCUUAGUUCAUCCUUAUGGCAGCAUGAGGUGGAGCGGGCACGAUCUCAUUUGCAUUUGAGGAAACCAAGACUCAGGCCAGGAACUUGUCUUCGUAUGGUAUGACACUUGGUGGUGGAUGUGAAGUUCAAAUUUGGAGUUGGGUUUAAGUCGCUUGAAAGUUGGUGCUCAUUUUUCUGUGCCACAGUGCAUCUCAGAAAGACACUUCUUAGGGAAUGUGUGUGUGACUGACGACAGCUGGGUUCUUACUGUUUUAGCAGCAGUGUGAACAGAUGAAGCAGACAGGAAGGGGGAAAUGGCAAUGUAUACUGUGUGACAGGCACUAUGCUAAGCAUCUCAUCUUUACCGAAAGCAUUUAUGAAGGUUUUCUCUUUUAAAAAUGAGCCACCUGGGCCAUGAAGAAGUUAAGUGACUUGACCACAGUCACAACCUAACCCAUGUGGUAGCAUCAGGAUUUCAGUCCAGAUCUGACUCAGAACUCAUGCUCUUAACCACCAUGUGAUUUUAAGCUGGAUAACAUGGAAAUACGUUUAAAUAUAUAAGGAAUAUAUGUAAAGGUAAUAUACAUUACUUUUAAAUAAGACAUCAGGUCAGUGCUAACUCCUACAGUAUAGAUGUCCCAGGUUGAAUAAAAUAGUUUCCUAAAAUCUCUACAUUUAUAACAAUGACAUAGGACAGACAGGUGGCUGCAAGAUGUAUGGUGAAGCUUAUGUAUACCUUAGCUAUUAGGGCAAGAAGUAUACAUUUUAGUACUUGUACUAAAACUAACAUAUAAAUUAAUCUUGAUGUGGAAAAUAAAAGCAUUAUUGGUGAUUUGGGUGUUACAAACAUUUGCUUUUCCUAGCAAAAUGCC
This 1546-nucleotide long non-coding RNA is filed under the name Homo sapiens (human). Its description in RNAcentral is "long non-coding RNA NONHSAT245773". Lineage: Eukaryota; Metazoa; Chordata; Mammalia; Primates; Hominidae. The record is from RNAcentral.